GUAGUACUCCCUCCGUUCGGAAAUACUUGUCAUCAAAUGAAUAUAACGGGAUGUAUCUAGAUGUAUAUUAGUUCUAGAUACAUCUUUUUUAUCCAUUUUGAUGACAAGUAUUUUCGGACGGAGGGAGUACUUG
Triticum aestivum (bread wheat) is the source of this 133-nucleotide non-coding RNA. NCBI's taxonomy places the organism in Eukaryota, Viridiplantae, Streptophyta, Magnoliopsida, Poales, Poaceae. The record is from Rfam.